GAUGAACGCUGGCGGCGUGCCUAAUACAUGCAAGUCGAACGCAUAGCGAAAGGUGCUUGCACCUUUCAAGUGGGUGGCGAACGGGUGAGUAACACGUGGACAACCUGCCUCAAGGCUGGGGAUAACAUUUGGAAACAGAUGCUAAUACCGAAUAAAACUUAGUGUCGCAUGACCCAAAGUUAAAAGGCGCUUCGGCGUCACCUAGAGAUGGAUCCGCGGUGCAUUAGUUAGUUGGUGGGGUAAAGGCCUACCAAGACAAUGAUGCAUAGCCGAGUUGAGAGACUGAUCGGCCACAUUGGGACUGAGACACGGCCCAAACUCCUACGGGAGGCUGCAGUAGGGAAUCUUCCACAAUGGGCGAAAGCCUGAUGGAGCAACGCCGCGUGUGUGAUGAAGGCUUUCGGGUCGUAAAGCACUGUUGUAUGGGAAGAACAGCUAGAAUAGGAAAUGAUUUUAGUUUGACGGUACCAUACCAGAAAGGGACGGCUAAAUACGUG
RNAcentral lists this ribosomal RNA (497 nucleotides) under uncultured bacterium. Its description in RNAcentral is "partial 16S ribosomal RNA". It matches the Rfam family "Bacterial small subunit ribosomal RNA", at positions 28 to 507 of the family's 1533-position model. The record is from RNAcentral.